UUAAUACUGCCACCGGGUAGUAUAAUCUACAAGCAUUCAAAACACAUCAUUAGGUCCUAGGAGAUGUGUUUUCGAAUGCUUAUUUAUUU
This 89-nucleotide non-coding RNA is filed under the name unclassified sequences. The record is from RNAcentral.